This 71-nucleotide transfer RNA is filed under the name Patescibacteria group bacterium. Its description in RNAcentral is "tRNA-OTHER". It matches the Rfam family "tRNA". Rfam says of the family: Transfer RNA (tRNA) molecules are approximately 80 nucleotides in length. Their secondary structure includes four short double-helical elements and three loops (D, anti-codon, and T loops). The record is from RNAcentral.
GGUGAAUUAGCUCAGUUGGCUAGAGCGUCUGCUUUUGUGGAAGGUCGCGAGUUCGAGCCUCGCAUUUACUG